This 494-nucleotide ribosomal RNA is filed under the name uncultured bacterium. Its description in RNAcentral is "partial 16S ribosomal RNA". It matches the Rfam family "Bacterial small subunit ribosomal RNA", at positions 28 to 507 of the family's 1533-position model. The record is from RNAcentral.
GACGAACGCUGGCGGCGUGCUUAACACAUGCAAGUCGAACGGAAAGGCCUGCUUUCCCUUGUGGAUUGCGGGUACUCGAGUGGCGAACGGGUGAGUAACACGUGAGUGAUCUGCCCCCAACUUGGGUAUAAGCCUGGGAAACUGGGUCUAAUUCCCGAUAGGACUGCAGGGUGGUGCCUGUGGUGGAAAACGAUUUUCUAGUGGUUGGGGAUGAGCUCGCGGCCUAUCAGCUUGUUGGUGGGGUAAUGGCCUACCAAGGCGGCGACGGGUAGCCGGCCUGAGAGGGUGGACGGGCACAGUGGGACUGAGAUACGGCCCAGACUCCUACGGGAGGCAGCAGUGGGGAAUAUUGCACAAUGGGCGGAAGCCUGAUGCAGCGACGCCGCGUGGGGGAUGACGGACUUCGGGUUGUAAACUCCUUUCGACCGCGAGGAAGCCACCUGGUUGGAAGGGUGGUGACGGUAGUGGUAGAAGAAGCACCGGCUAACUACGUG